This 486-nucleotide ribosomal RNA is filed under the name uncultured bacterium. RNAcentral describes it as "bacterial SSU rRNA". It matches the Rfam family "Bacterial small subunit ribosomal RNA", at positions 30 to 509 of the family's 1533-position model. The record is from RNAcentral.
AUUGAACGCUGGCGGCAGGCCUAACACAUGCAAGUCGAGCGGAUGAGAAGAGCUUGCUCUUCGAUUCAGCGGCGGACGGGUGAGUAAUGCCUAGGAAUCUGCCUGGUAGUGGGGGACAACGUUUCGAAAGGAACGCUAAUACCGCAUACGUCCUACGGGAGAAAGCAGGGGACCUUCGGGCCUUGCGCUAUCAGAUGAGCCUAGGUCGGAUUAGCUAGUUGGUGAGGUAAUGGCUCACCAAGGCUACGAUCCGUAACUGGUCUGAGAGGAUGAUCAGUCACACUGGAACUGAGACACGGUCCAGACUCCUACGGGAGGCAGCAGUGGGGAAUAUUGGACAAUGGGCGAAAGCCUGAUCCAGCCAUGCCGCGUGUGUGAAGAAGGUCUUCGGAUUGUAAAGCACUUUAAGUUGGGAGGAAGGGCAGUAAGCUAAUACCUUGCUGUUUUGACGUUACCGACAGAAUAAGCAUCGGCUAACUACGUGCC